GCCAGGUGUGGUGGUGCACACCUGUAAUCCCAGCUACUUGGGAGGCUGAGGUAGAAGAAUCGCUUGAGCCCAGGAGGCGGAGGUUGCAGUGAGCCAAGAUUGUGCCACUACACUCCACCCUGGGCGACACAGCGAGACUCUGUCUCAA
Papio anubis (olive baboon) is the source of this 148-nucleotide unclassified non-coding RNA. It matches the Rfam family "Metazoan signal recognition particle RNA". Rfam says of the family: The signal recognition particle (SRP) is a universally conserved ribonucleoprotein. It is involved in the co-translational targeting of proteins to membranes. The record is from Ensembl. Lineage: Eukaryota; Metazoa; Chordata; Mammalia; Primates; Cercopithecidae.